RNAcentral lists this ribosomal RNA (253 nucleotides) under uncultured bacterium. RNAcentral describes it as "partial 16S ribosomal RNA". It matches the Rfam family "Bacterial small subunit ribosomal RNA", at positions 524 to 776 of the family's 1533-position model. The record is from RNAcentral.
UACAGAGGUCUCAAGCGUUGUUCGGAUUCAUUGGGCGUAAAGGGUGCGUAGGUGGCAUGGUAAGUUGAAGGUGAAAUCUCGGAGCUCAACUCCGAAACUGCCUUCAAUACUGCUGUGCUCGAGGACUGUAGAGGAGAAUGGAAUUCACGGUGUAGCAGUGAAAUGCGUAGAUAUCGUGAGGAAGACCAGUGGCGAAGGCGAUUCUCUGGGCAGUUCCUGACACUGAGGCACGAAGGCUAGGGGAGCGAACGGG